This 269-nucleotide ribosomal RNA is filed under the name uncultured prokaryote. Its description in RNAcentral is "partial 16S ribosomal RNA". It matches the Rfam family "Bacterial small subunit ribosomal RNA", at positions 524 to 792 of the family's 1533-position model. The record is from RNAcentral.
UACGUAGGUGGCAAGCGUUAUCCGGAAUUAUUGGGCGUAAAGAGCGCGCAGGUGGUUGAUUAAGUCUGAUGUGAAAGCCCACGGCUUAACCGUGGAGGGUCAUUGGAAACUGGUCGACUUGAGUGCAGAAGAGGGAAGUGGAAUUCCAUGUGUAGCGGUGAAAUGCGUAGAGAUAUGGAGGAACACCAGUGGCGAAGGCGGCUUCCUGGUCUGUAACUGACGCUGAGGCGCGAAAGCGUGGGGAGCAAACAGGAUUAGAUACCCCGGUA